AUGCACGCUGGCGGCGUGCCUCAUCCAUGCAAGUCGCGCGCACAGACGAGGAGCUUGCUCCUCUGACGUUAGCGGCGGACGGGUGAGUAACACGUGGAUAACCUACCUAUAAGACUGGGAUAACUUCGGGAAACCGGAGCUAAUACCGGAUAAUAUAUUGAACCGCAUGGUUCAAUAGUGAAAGACGGUUUUGCUGUCACUUAUAGAUGGAUCCGCGCCGCAUUAGCUAGUUGGUAAGGUAACGGCUUACCAAGGCAACGAUGCGUAGCCGACCUGAGAGGGUGAUCGGCCACACUGGAACUGAGACACGGUCCAGACUCCUACGGGAGGCAGCAGUAGGGAAUCUUCCGCAAUGGGCGAAAGCUUGACGGAGCAACGCCGCGUGAGUGAUGAAGGUCUUCGGAUCGUAAAACUCUGUUAUUAGGGAAGAACAAAUGUGUAAGUAACUAUGCACGUCUUGACGGUACCUAAUCAGAAAGCCACGGCUAACUACGUG
This 496-nucleotide ribosomal RNA is filed under the name uncultured bacterium. RNAcentral describes it as "partial 16S ribosomal RNA". It matches the Rfam family "Bacterial small subunit ribosomal RNA", at positions 29 to 507 of the family's 1533-position model. The record is from RNAcentral.